This 789-nucleotide ribosomal RNA is filed under the name uncultured bacterium. RNAcentral's name for it is "bacterial SSU rRNA". It matches the Rfam family "Bacterial small subunit ribosomal RNA", at positions 8 to 798 of the family's 1533-position model. The record is from RNAcentral.
AGAGUUUGAUCAUGGCUCAGGACGAACGCUGGCGGCGUGCUUAACACAUGCAAGUCGAACGGAAAGGCCCCUUCGGGGGUACUCGAGUGGCGAACGGGUGAGUAACACGUGGGUGAUCUGCCCUGCACUUUGGGAUAAGCCUGGGAAACUGGGUCUAAUACCGAAUAGGACCGCAUGCUUCAUGGUGUGUGGUGGAAAGCUUUUGCGGUGUGGGAUGGGCCCGCGGCCUAUCAGCUUGUUGGUGGGGUAAUGGCCUACCAAGGCGACGACGGGUAGCCGGCCUGAGAGGGUGUCCGGCCACACUGGGACUGAGAUACGGCCCAGACUCCUACGGGAGGCAGCAGUGGGGAAUAUUGCACAAUGGGCGCAAGCCUGAUGCAGCGACGCCGCGUGGGGGAUGACGGCCUUCGGGUUGUAAACCUCCUUCAGUAUCGGCGAAGCUCCAGGAUUUUUCUUGGGGUGACGGUAGGUACAGAAGAAGCACCGGCCAACUACGUGCCAGCAGCCGCGGUAAUACGUAGGGUGCGAGCGUUGUCCGGAAUUACUGGGCGUAAAGAGCUCGUAGGUGGUUUGUCACGUUGUCUGUGAAAACUCACAGCUUAACUGUGGGCGUGCGGGCGAUACGGGCAGACUGGAGUACUGUAGGGGAGACUGGAAUUCCUGGUGUAGCGGUGGAAUGCGCAGAUAUCAGGAGGAACACCGGUGGCGAAGGCGGGUCUCCGGGCAGUAACUGACGCUGAGGAGCGAAAGCGUGGGGAGCGAACAGGAUUAGAUACCCUGGUAGUCCAA